Molecule: ribosomal RNA, 1557 nt
Organism: Actinomyces sp. oral taxon 448
Lineage: Bacteria; Bacillati; Actinomycetota; Actinomycetes; Actinomycetales; Actinomycetaceae
Rfam family: Bacterial small subunit ribosomal RNA
Source: Rfam
UGUUUGGAGAGUUUGAUCCUGGCUCAGGACGAACGCUGGCGGCGUGCUUAACACAUGCAAGUCGAACGGGCCUGCCUGGCUUUGGUUGGGUGGGUGAGUGGCGAACGGGUGAGUAACACGUGAGUAACCUGCCCUCUUCUCUUGGAUAACUGCUUGAAAGGGCGGCUAAUACGGGAUGUUCUGGCUGCCUCGCAUGGGGUGGUUUGGAAAGAUUCGGCCUGGUUUUGGUUGUUUUGGUGGGGGAUGGGCUCGCGGCUUAUCAGCUUGUUGGUGGGGUGAUGGCCUACCAAGGCGGUGACGGGUAGCCGGCCUGAGAGGGUGGACGGUCACACUGGGACUGAGACACGGCCCAGACUCCUGCGGGAGGCAGCAGUGGGGGAUUUUGCACAAUGGGCGCAAGCCUGAUGCAGCGACGCCGCGUGAGGGAUGGAGGCCUUCGGGUUGUGAACCUCUGUCGCCGGUGAUGUAGGCUCUGCUUUGUGGGUGGGGUUGACGGUAGCCGGGGUAUGAAGUGCCGGCUAACUACGUGCCAGCAGCCGCGGUAAUACGUAGGGCGCGAGCGUUGUCCGGAAUUAUUGGGCGUAAAGAGCUCGUAGGCGGCUGGUCGCGUCUGUCGUGAAAUCCUCUGGCUUAACUGGGGGCGUGCGGUGGGUACGGGCCGGCUUGAGUGCGGUAGGGGAGGCUGGAAUUCCUGGUGUAGCGGUGGAAUGCGCAGAUAUCAGGAGGAACACCGGUGGCGAAGGCGGGUCUCUGGGCCGUGUACUGACGCUGAGGAGCGAAAGCGUGGGGAGCGAACAGGAUUAGAUACCCUGGUAGUCCAUGCUGUAAACGUUGGGCACUAGGUGUGGGGGGUCUUUCCGGGUCUUCCGCGCCGUAGCUAACGCAUUAAGUGCCCCGCCUGGGGAGUACGGCCGCAAGGCUAAAACUCAAAGGAAUUGACGGGGGCCCGCACAAGCGGCGGAGCAUGCGGAUUAAUUCGAUGCAACGCGAAGAACCUUACCAAGGCUUGACAUGGGCCGGUGGUUCCCGGAGACGGGAGCGUCCCCUUUUUGUGGGCUGGUUCACAGGUGGUGCAUGGUUGUCGUCAGCUCGUGUCGUGAGAUGUUGGGUUAAGUCCCGCAACGAGCGCAACCCUUGUCUCGUGUUGCCAGCACGUUGUGGUGGGGACUCGCGGGAGACUGCCGGGGUCAACUCGGAGGAGGGUGGGGAUGACGUCAAAUCAUCAUGCCCCUUAUGUCUUGGGCUUCACGCAUGCUACAAUGGCCGGUACAGUGGGUUGCGAUGUCGUGAGGCGGAGCGAAUCCCUGAAAGCCGGUCUCAGUUCGGAUCGGUGUCUGCAACUCGACACCGUGAAGUUGGAGUCGCUAGUAAUCGCAGAUCAGCAACGCUGCGGUGAAUACGUUCUCGGGCCUUGUACACACCGCCCGUCACGUCAUGAAAGUCGGCAACACCCGAAGCCCGUGGCCUUAUGGGGAGCGGUCGAAGGUGGGGCUGGUGAUUGGGACGAAGUCGUAACAAGGUAGCCGUACCGGAAGGUGCGGCUGGAUCACCUCCUUU